This 651-nucleotide ribosomal RNA is filed under the name uncultured bacterium. Its description in RNAcentral is "bacterial SSU rRNA". It matches the Rfam family "Bacterial small subunit ribosomal RNA", at positions 229 to 898 of the family's 1533-position model. The record is from RNAcentral.
GCCGAUGUCGGAUUAGGUAGUUGGUGGGGUAACGGCCUACCAAGCCUUCGAUCCGUAGCUGGUCUGAGAGGAUGAUCAGCCACACUGGGACUGAGAUACGGCCCAGACUCCUACGGGAGGCAGCAGUGGGGAAUAUUGGACAAUGGGGGCAACCCUGAUCCAGCAAUGCCGCGUGGAUGAUGAAGGCCUUCGGGUUGUAAAGUCCUUUCGGCGGGGAAGAUGAUGACGGUACCCGCAGAAGAAGCCCCGGCUAACUUCGUGCCAGCAGCCGCGGUAAUACGAAGGGGGCUAGCGUUGUUCGGAAUUACUGGGCGUAAAGGGCGCGUAGGCUGUGCUGUAAGUCAGGCGUGAAAGCCCCGGGCUCAACCUGGGAAUUGCGCUUGAUACUGCGGCGCUGGAAGGUGGGAGAGGAUGGCGGAAUUCCCAGUGUAGAGGUGAAAUUCGUAGAUAUUGGGAAGAACACCGGUGGCGAAGGCGGCCAUCUGGCCCACAUUUGACGCUGAGGCGCGAAAGCGUGGGGAGCAAACAGGAUUAGAUACCCUGGUAGUCCACGCUGUAAACGAUGAGUGCUAGACGUCGGGGAGCUUGCUCUUCGGUGUCGCCGCUAACGCAUUAAGCACCCCGCCUGGGGAGUACGGUCGCAAGAUUAAA